This 28-nucleotide small RNA is filed under the name Bombyx mori (domestic silkworm). RNAcentral's name for it is "ovarian small RNA-12117". The record is from RNAcentral. Lineage: Eukaryota; Metazoa; Arthropoda; Insecta; Lepidoptera; Bombycidae.
AGCGCAGUGGAAUGGCCUCGAACAUGGA